RNAcentral lists this ribosomal RNA (403 nucleotides) under uncultured Methanolinea sp. RNAcentral's name for it is "bacterial SSU rRNA". It matches the Rfam family "Archaeal small subunit ribosomal RNA", at positions 938 to 1338 of the family's 1478-position model. The record is from RNAcentral. Lineage: Archaea; Methanobacteriati; Methanobacteriota; Methanomicrobia; Methanomicrobiales; Methanoregulaceae.
GACAGCAAUAUGAAGGGCCAGGCUGAAGACUUUGCCGGAUUAGCUGAGAGGUGGUGCAUGGCCGUCGUCAGUUCGUACUGUGAAGCAUCCUGUUAAGUCAGGCAACGAGCGAGACCCACGCCAACAGUUGCCAGCAUGUCCUCCGGGAUGAUGGGGACACUGUUGGGACCGCCUCUGCUAAAGAGGAGGAAGGAAUGGGGCAACGGUAGGUCAGCAUGCCCCGAAUUAUCCGGGCUACACGCGGGCUACAAUGGUCAGGACAAUGGGUAUCAACACCGAAAGGUGAAGGCAAUCUCCUAAACCUGUCCUUAGUUCGGAUUGUGGGCUGCAACUCGCCCACAUGAAGCUGGAAUCUGUAGUAAUCGCGUCUCAACAUGGCGCGGUGAGUAUGUCCCUGCUCCUU